ACAGUGGACGCGAGCAUCUGUGGCCAAGUUUUUAAGGGCGCACGGUGGAUGCCUUGGCACCAGGAACCGAUGAAGGACGUGGGAGGCCGCGAUAGGCCCCGGGGAGCUGUCAACCGAGCUUUGAUCCGGGGGUGUCCGAAUGGGGAAACCCGGCAGUCGUCAUGGGCUGUCACCCGUACCUGAACUCAUAGGGUAUGUGGAGGGAACGCGGGGAAGUGAAACAUCUCAGUACCCGCAGGAAGAGAAAACAACCGUGAUUCCGGGAGUAGUGGUGAGCGAAACCGGAUGAGGCCAAACCAGUCACGUGUGAUACCCGGCAGGGGUUGCGUGGUUGGGGUUGUGGGAGUUCUCUUGAUCGGUCUGCCGGCCGGUCGGUGAGUCAGAAACCGUUGAUGUAGGCGAAGGACAUGCGAAAGGUCCGGCGUAGAGGGUAAGACCCCCGUAGCUGAAACAUUAGCGGCUCGCUUGAGAACCACCCAAGUAGCACGGGGCCCGUGAAAUCCCGUGUGAAUCUGGCGGGACCACCCGUUAAGCCUAAAUAUUCCCUGGUGACCGAUAGCGGAUAGUACCGUGAGGGAAUGGUGAAAAGUACCGCGGGAGCGGAGUGAAAUAGUACCUGAAACCGUGUGCCUACAAGCCGUGGGAGCGUCGCNNNNNGUCGUGACUGCGUGCCUUUUGAAGAAUGAGCCUGCGAGUUUGCGGUAUGUUGCGAGGUUAACCCGUGUGGGGAAGCCGUAGCGAAAGCGAGUCCGAAGAGGGCGAUAUAGUAGCGUGCCCAAGACCCGAAGCGGAGUGAUCUAGCCAUGGGCAGGUUGAAGCGGAGGUAAGACUUCGUGGAGGACCGAACCCACCAGGGUUGAAAACCUGGGGGAUGACCUGUGGUUAGGGGUGAAAGGCCAAUCAAACUCCGUGAUAGCUGGUUCUCCCCGAAAUGCAUUUAGGUGCAGCGUCGUGUGUUUCUUGCCGGAGGUAGAGCACUGGAUAGGCGAUGGGCCCUACCGGGUUACUGACCUUAGCCAAACUCCGAAUGCCGGUAAGUGAGAGCGCGGCAGUGAGACUGUGGGGGAUAAGCUCCAUGGUCGAGAGGGAAACAGCCCAGAGCAUCGACUAAGGCCCCUAAGCGUGUGCUAAGUGGGAAAGGAUGUGGAGUCGCAGAGACAACCAGGAGGUUGGCUUAGAAGCAGCCAUCCUUGAAAGAGUGCGUAAUAGCUCACUGGUCAAGUGAUUCCGCGCCGACAAUGUAGCGGGGCUCAAGCACACCGCCGAAGUCAUGUCAUUGCAGUAUGUACUCCUAACGGGGACUGUGAUGGGUAGGGGAGCGUCGUGUGCCGGGUGAAGCAGCGCCGGAAGGUAGUUGUGGACGGUUCACGAGUGAGAAUGCAGGCAUGAGUAGCGAUACACACGUGGGAAACGUGUGCGCCGAUUGACUAAGGGUUCCUGGGUCAAGCUGAUCUGCCCAGGGUAAGUCGGGACCUAAGGCGAGGCCGACAGGCGUAGUCGAUGGACAACCGGUUGAUAUUCCGGUACCCGCUUUGAAGCGCCAAACAUCGAAUCCUCUGAUGCUAAGGCCGUGAAGCCGCCCUGGAGUCUUCGGACAAAGGGGAGUGGUGGAGCCGCUGAUCCAAGGUGGUAGUAGGUGAGUGAUGGGGUGACGCAGGAAGGUAGUCCAGCCCGGGCGGUGGUUGUCCCGGGGUAAGGGUGUAGGACGCACGGUAGGCAAAUCCGUCGUGCAUGAAGUCUGAGACCUGAUGCCGAGCCGAUUGUGGUGAAGUGGAUGAUCCUAUGCUGUCGAGAAAAGCCUCUAGCGAGUUUCAUGGCGGCCCGUACCCUAAACCGACUCAGGUGGUCAGGUAGAGAAUACCGAGGCGUUCGGGUGAACUAUGGUUAAGGAACUCGGCAAAAUGCCCCCGUAACUUCGGGAGAAGGGGGGCCACGGCUGGUGAU
This 1944-nucleotide ribosomal RNA is filed under the name Streptomyces rimosus subsp. rimosus. RNAcentral's name for it is "bacterial LSU rRNA". It matches the Rfam family "Bacterial large subunit ribosomal RNA", at positions 1 to 1764 of the family's 2925-position model. The record is from RNAcentral. Lineage: Bacteria; Bacillati; Actinomycetota; Actinomycetes; Kitasatosporales; Streptomycetaceae.